RNAcentral lists this ribosomal RNA (156 nucleotides) under Ulva paschima. RNAcentral describes it as "5.8S ribosomal RNA". The stretch from base 25 to 151 matches the Rfam family "5.8S ribosomal RNA", at positions 29 to 154 of the family's 154-position model. From Rfam's summary of the family: 5.8S ribosomal RNA (5.8S rRNA) is a component of the large subunit of the eukaryotic ribosome. It is transcribed by RNA polymerase I as part of the 45S precursor that also contains 18S and 28S rRNA. Functionally, it is thought that 5.8S rRNA may be involved in ribosome translocation. The record is from RNAcentral. Lineage: Eukaryota; Viridiplantae; Chlorophyta; Ulvophyceae; Ulvales; Ulvaceae.
GCAUCGAAGCAGAACGCAGCAAAGCGCAUCGAUGAAGAACGCAGCGAAAUGCGAUACGUAGUGUGAAUUGCAGAAUUCCGUGAGUCAUCGAAUCUUUGAACGCACAUUGCCGGUCGACUCUUCGGAGGAGACCACAUCUGCCUCAGCGUCGGAAUA